GACAGAGGGUGCUAGCGUUAAUCGGAAUUACUGGGCGUAAAGGGCUCGCAGGCGGUUUAGUAAGUCAGAUGUGAAAGACCCGGGCUUAACCUGGGGCGGUCAUUUGAGACUGCUGAACUAGAGUAAGGUAGAGGAAAGUGGAAUUUCCGGUGUAGCGGUGAAAUGCGUAGAUAUUGGAAGGAACACCAGUGGCUAAGGCGACUUUCUGGACCUUAUCUGACGCUCGUGAGCGAAAGCGUUGGUAGCAAACAGG
This 253-nucleotide ribosomal RNA is filed under the name uncultured bacterium. RNAcentral describes it as "partial 16S ribosomal RNA". It matches the Rfam family "Bacterial small subunit ribosomal RNA", at positions 524 to 776 of the family's 1533-position model. The record is from RNAcentral.